AGAUCAAAUUGUUGGUCGUGCCUUGGUACGUACUGGCAUUAUUGAUUUCUCCCUUCUGAAGAACUACGAUGUCAUUAAUUUGGUGUCAUGGGGAAUCAGGACUGUUACUUUGAAAAAAUUAGAGUGUUUAAAGCAGGCUAACGCUUGAAUACAUUAGCAUGGAAUAAUGAAAUAGGACGUUUGAUUCUAUUUUGUUGGUUUCUAGGAUCGACGUA
RNAcentral lists this ribosomal RNA (215 nucleotides) under uncultured Glomeromycotina. RNAcentral describes it as "partial small subunit ribosomal RNA". The stretch from base 37 to 215 matches the Rfam family "Eukaryotic small subunit ribosomal RNA", at positions 684 to 864 of the family's 1831-position model. Lineage: Eukaryota; Fungi; Glomeromycota. The record is from RNAcentral.